This 912-nucleotide long non-coding RNA is filed under the name Homo sapiens (human). Its description in RNAcentral is "HSALNT0197919". The record is from RNAcentral. Lineage: Eukaryota; Metazoa; Chordata; Mammalia; Primates; Hominidae.
GCCGAGAUCACGCCACUGCACUCCAGCCUGGGUAACAGAGCAAGACUCCAUCUCAAAAAAAUAAAAAUAAAAAAUAAAAAAAUAAGUUCCUGUCAUUAUAAAAUUUAUAUUGUAAUGGAAAAGAUAAUAUUUUUAAAACAACAAACUAUACACUGUAGUAAAUACUAAGAAGAAAAUGAAAAUAUUUGAAAGAAUGAUUAGUCAUUUCAAGCUUAAACAAUGAGAAAUAUUUUGUGUAUUGUUUCUUAUUCUAAAGUUUUAUUUAAACUUGCCAUAUGCAUCUUCACAUUACUAUUAAGAAAGCCACUUAGAUCCUCCCACCUUAACUGCCUGAGUAGUUGGGACAACAGGCAUGCACCACCAUGCCCAGAUAAUUUUUUUUUAAUAUUUUGUAAAGAUGGGGAUUCCCUAUAUUGUCCAGAAUGGUCUUGAACUCCUGGCUUUAUGCAGUCUUUCCACCUCAGCCUCCCAAAGUUCUGGGUUACAGGUGUGAGCCACUGCGCCGGGCCAAUUUUGGUUUUUCAUGGAGGACUUUUAGCAGGUCUCAAAAGUUUUCUUCUAAUAGUUUUCUUGGUGUUCUAUCAUUCAUAGGUGUUGAAUUUAUCAAACUUUUUCUAUUUCAAUUAUUACAUUUUUACUUUGUUCAAGUAAUAUUGUAUCAUAUUAAACAAACAUUGCAUUGUGAAAAAUACCCUGCUUAGUCAUGGUAUGUAAUCAUUCUUAUACCUUUUUGUAUUCUUUUUUUAAAUAUUUCUGAGAAUUUCUGUGUCUAAAUUUAAAUAGGAUGUUGUUUCAUAGUCAUCUUGUGAUUCUUUUGUCUCCUUUGGGUAUUAUGGUAUUACUGGCUAACAGAUGAAUUAAGAAAUAUUACCUCUUCUACUGCUUGAAGUUUUUGUGAGAAAUUGAUGUUUU